RNAcentral lists this unclassified non-coding RNA (314 nucleotides) under plant metagenome. RNAcentral's name for it is "partial contains 5.8S ribosomal RNA, internal transcribed spacer 2, and large subunit ribosomal RNA". The stretch from base 1 to 105 matches the Rfam family "5.8S ribosomal RNA", at positions 50 to 154 of the family's 154-position model. The record is from RNAcentral.
GAAAUGCGAUAAUUAAUGUGAAUUGCAGAAUCCAGUGAAUCAUCGAGUCUUUGAACGCACAUUGCGCCCCCUGGUAUUCCGGGGGGCAUGCCUGUCCGAGCGUCAUUGCUGCCCUCAAGCACGGCUUGUGUGUUGGGCUUCCGUCCCUGGCAACGGGGACGGGCCCAAAAGGCAGUGGCGGCACCAUGUCUGGUCCUCGAGCGUAUGGGGCUUUGUCACCCGCUCCCGUAGGUCCAGCUGGCAGCUAGCCUCGCAACCAAUCUUUUUAACCAGGUUGACCUCGGAUCAGGUAGGGAUACCCGCUGAACUUAAGC